RNAcentral lists this ribosomal RNA (303 nucleotides) under Anaerolineae bacterium. RNAcentral describes it as "partial 16S ribosomal RNA". It matches the Rfam family "Bacterial small subunit ribosomal RNA", at positions 1 to 284 of the family's 1533-position model. Lineage: Bacteria; Bacillati; Chloroflexota; Anaerolineae. The record is from RNAcentral.
UUUGCGGAGAGUUUGAUCCUGGCUCAGGAUGAACGCUGGCGGCGUGCCUAAUACAUGCAAGUCGAACGAGGAGCCUUGACACUUGUAUUCGUACUCGUGUUAGGGAUUUCCUAGUGGCGAACGGGUGAGUAACGCGUUGGUGACCUGCCCCAAAGAGAGGAAUAACAGCUCGAAAGGGCUGCUAAUACCUCAUGUGGUCAUGAGAUUUAGAAACUCAUGUCUAAAGGAGUAAUCCACUUUGGGAGGGACCUGCGUCCCAUCAGCUAGUUGGUAAGGUAACGGCUUACCAAGGCGACGACGGGU